RNAcentral lists this transfer RNA (72 nucleotides) under Camelus bactrianus (Bactrian camel). It matches the Rfam family "tRNA". From Rfam's summary of the family: Transfer RNA (tRNA) molecules are approximately 80 nucleotides in length. Their secondary structure includes four short double-helical elements and three loops (D, anti-codon, and T loops). Lineage: Eukaryota; Metazoa; Chordata; Mammalia; Artiodactyla; Camelidae. The record is from Rfam by way of RNAcentral. RNAcentral also lists the same sequence under 2 other names.
GAGAGUAUAGCUCAGUGGCAGAGGGUGUGCUUGGGAAGCACAAGGUCCUAGAUUCAAAUCCCAGUGUCUCCA